CUACCUCCACCCUGUGCCUCCCACCUCAUUUGUCAGCCAGGAUGCUGACGGGCAAUAUUCCCUUACCCACCAAGCUCAACUUCUACCUUUAGAGGUAUCAGCCUGCCAAACCUGCCAGCUCCCCAUGACUGUUAGUGUGGGGAGGUCCAUUGUUUUAGUGACCAUGAAUGGUCGCUAUGAUCUUGUCCUCCCUGAAGCACAUUGUGAAUGUUGUGCCUCUCAUUGGACACCUGCGCUGGAAGACGUUGUGCAAAGUGGGUACUGGCCAGGGACGGUCAACUUCAAUAGUCUGUUUCAUGUUGACGUUUUCCAGUCAUACCUGGAGUUAAAAAUGUCAGCACCUGGACUGUCCCGUCUGGCAUUUACCACAAUGCUAGACAAAAAAAACAGCCGCUUUGGAAGAGUGAGUACCGUGUGUGGCACUAAUAGUGGAUAUAUUCAUCACUGCCUGGUAAACUAUACACA
This is a long non-coding RNA of Osmerus eperlanus (European smelt), 465 nucleotides long. RefSeq lists it as uncharacterized. NCBI's taxonomy places the organism in Eukaryota, Metazoa, Chordata, Actinopteri, Osmeriformes, Osmeridae. The transcript is spliced from 3 exons. The record is from RefSeq and is a predicted model, not a curated record.